UCAAGCUACUAAGAGUGUACGGUGGAUGCCUUGGCAUCAGCAGGCGAUGAAGGGCGUGGUAAGCUGCGAUAAGCCUCGGGUAGUCGCACACAGACGCUAAUCCGAGGAUGCCCGAAUGGGGAAACCCGAUCCGAGUUAUGUCGGAUCAUCGCUGGGUGAAUACAUAGCCCAGACGAAGCUAACCGGGGGAACUGAAACAUCUCAGUACCUCGAGGAAAAGAAAGCAACCGCGAUUCCCUGAGUAGCGGCGAGCGAAAGGGGAUCAGCCCAAACCGAUGGCGUGUGAUAGCCCGUGUGCGUUGCGCCAUUGGGGUCGAGGGGUUCUGCCUGAUCCCGAUACGGCGGGGUCGAAGAGUUACAAAUCUCAUGCUUAAUUGAACGAUCUGGAAAGGUCGGCCAUAGAAGGUGAUAGCCCUGUAGAGUAAAAGUAUGAGACUCUUUGAGCAGGAUACCCAAGUACCACAGGACACGUGAAAUCCUGUGGGAAUUCGGGGGGACCGCCCUCCAAGGCUAAACACUCGCUGAUGACCGAUAGUGAACCAGUACCGUGAGGGAAAGGUGAAAAGCACCCCUGUGAGGGGAGUGAAAUAGUACCUGAAACCGUACACUUACAAGCAGUCGAAGGGCUAUGCUCGCCGCAAGGCGAGAAUGCCUGACGGCGUGCCUUUUGCUUAAUGAGCCGGCGAGUUACUUGUACGCAGCAAGGUUAAGCCGCGAGGCGGAGCCGUAGCGAAAGCGAGUCCGAACAGGGCGAUUGAGUUGCGUGCAGUAGACCCGAAGCCAGGUGAGCUACCCCUGGCCAGAGUGAAGUGCCGGUAACACGGCAUGGAAGCUCGAACUCAUCACGGUUGAAAACGUGUGGGAUGAGCUGGGGGUAGGAGUGAAAGGCCAAUCAAACCUGGAAAUAGCUGGUUCUCCCCGAAAUAGCUUUAGGGCUAGCCUCGCAACGUAAGUGGCGGAGGUAGAGCACUGGAUGAGCUAGGGCUCUCACAAGGGUACCAAACUCAACCAAACUCCGAAUGCCGUCAACUGGAAUUGCGGGAGUCAGACUGUGGGGGCUAAGCUCCAUGGUCGAGAGGGAAACAGCCCAGACCACCAGCUAAGGUCCUGGAAUGCAGGCUAAGUGGGAAAGGAUGUCAGAUUACUUAGACAACCAGGAGGUUGGCUUAGAGGCAGCCAUCCUUUAAAGAGUGCGUAACAGCUCACUGGUCAAGUGUUCUGGCGCCGAUAAUGUAACGGGGCUCAAGCCUGCUACCGACGCUGUGGGAUCUUGCUUACUUCGGUAAGUGGGAUCGGUAGGGGAGCAUUCUGCAGUCAGUGAAGCUGGACGGUGACGACCGGUGGAGAGUGCAGAAGCGAUUAUGCCGGCCUAAGUAACGAUAAACUAGGUGAAAAACCUAGUCGCCGUAAAUCUAAGGUUUCCUGGGGAAGGUUAAUCCGCCCAGGGUUAGUCGGUUCCUAAGCUGAGGCCUAAGGGCGUAAGCGAAGGGCAACAGGUUAAUAUUCCUGUACUACCGGGCGACGACAAAGACGCAAUGGGGGGACGCAGAAGGGUAGGCCAUGCCCGUGUUGGACGUCGGGCUCUAAGCUGGUAGGGGGUUUCGAUAGGCAAAUCCGUCGAGACGUUAACCCCGAGAGGCGAUGGGGAGGCCGUAAGGCCACAAACUGGCUCAGCCCACGCUGCCAAGAAAAGCCUCUAGCGAGUCGUUCGGUAACCGUACCGCAAACCGACUCAGGUAGACAGGGAGAGUAUCCCAAGGCGCUCGAGAGAACACUCGCUAAGGAACUCGGCAAAAUAGCCCCGUAACUUCGGGAAAAGGGGUACCAUACCAGCGUGAGCGGGUUCACCCUGCAGAGCGCUGGGAGGUCGCAGUGAAUUGGGCCAAGCGACUGUUUAAUAAAAACACAGGUCCGUGCUAAGCCGAAAGGCGAUGUAUACGGACUGACACCUGCCCGGUGCCGGACGGUUAACAGGAGGGGUCAUCUGCCGCAAGGUGGAGAAGCUCUGAAUCGAAGCCCCGGUAAACGGCGGCCGUAACUAUAACGGUCCUAAGGUAGCGAAAUUCCUUGUCGGGUAAGUUCCGACCUGCACGAAUGG
Molecule: ribosomal RNA, 2098 nt
Filed under: Candidatus Methylomirabilis lanthanidiphila
Lineage: Bacteria; Methylomirabilota (SeqCode); Methylomirabilia (SeqCode); Methylomirabilales (SeqCode); Methylomirabilaceae (SeqCode)
Description: bacterial LSU rRNA
Rfam family: Bacterial large subunit ribosomal RNA
Source: RNAcentral